Molecule: ribosomal RNA, 468 nt
Filed under: uncultured bacterium
Lineage: Bacteria
Description: partial 16S ribosomal RNA
Rfam family: Bacterial small subunit ribosomal RNA
Source: RNAcentral
GACGAACGCUGGCGGCGUGCUUAACACAUGCAAGUCGAACGGAAAGGCCCUGCUUUUGUGGGGUGCUCGAGUGGCGAACGGGUGAGUAACACGUGAGUAACCUGCCCUUGACUUUGGGAUAACUUCAGGAAACUGUGGCUAAUACCGGAUAGGAGCUCCUGCUGCAUGGUGGGGGUUGGAAAGUUUCGGCGGUUGGGGAUGGACUCUCGGCUUAUCAGCUUGUUGGUGGGGUAGUGGCUUACCAAGGCUUUGACGGGUAGCCGGCCUGAGAGGGUGACCGGCCACAUUGGGACUGAGAUACGGCCCAGACUCCUACGGGAGGCAGCAGUGGGGAAUAUUGCACAAUGGGCGGAGGCCUGAUGCAGCAACGCCGCGUGCGGGAUGACGGACUUCGGGUUGUAAACCGCUUUCGCCUGUGACGAAGCGUGAGUGACGGUAAUGGGUAAAGAAGCACCGGCUAACUACGUG